Molecule: transfer RNA, 63 nt
Filed under: Jamides bochus
Lineage: Eukaryota; Metazoa; Arthropoda; Insecta; Lepidoptera; Lycaenidae
Description: tRNA-Cys
Source: RNAcentral
AGUUUUAUAGUUAAUAAAUAAUAUAAAAUUGCAAAUUUUAAGUUGUAUAAUAUACUAAGGCUU